Molecule: ribosomal RNA, 253 nt
Filed under: uncultured bacterium
Lineage: Bacteria
Description: partial 16S ribosomal RNA
Rfam family: Bacterial small subunit ribosomal RNA
Source: RNAcentral
UACGUAGGGGGCAAGCGUUGUCCGGAUUUAUUGGGCGUAAAGCGCGUGUAGGCGGCUGGGUAGGUCCGCUGUGAAAACUUGAGGCUCAACCUCAAGAGGUCGGUGGAAACCAUCCAGCUAGAGUCCGGAAGAGGAGAAUGGAAUUCCUGGUGUAGCGGUGAAAUGCGCAGAUAUCGGGAGGAACACCGGUGGCGAAGGCGGUUCUCUGGGCCUUACCUGACGCUGAGGAGCGAAAGCGUGGGGAGCGAACAGG